UGGGGGAUAUUGCACAAUGGGCGAAAGCCUGAUGCAGCGACGCCGCGUGGGGGAUGAAGGCCUUCGGGUUGUAAACUUCUUUUGCUCUGAACAAGGCAUGCCUUUGGGGUGUGUUGAGUGUAGGGGUUGAUUAGCGCCGGCUAACUACGUGCCAGCAGCCGCGGUAAUACGUAGGGCGCGAGCGUUGUCCGGAAUUAUUGGGCGUAAAGGGCUUGUAGGUGGCUGGUUGCGUCUGUCGUGAAAGCUCAUGGCUUAACUGUGGGUUGGCGGUGGGUACGGGCUGGCUUGAGUGCAGUAGGGGAGGCUGGAAUUCCUGGUGUAGCGGUGGAAUGCGCAGAUAUCAGGAGGAAUAACGGUGGCGAAGGCGGGUCUCUGGGCUGUUACUGACGCUGAGGAGCGAAAGCGUGGGGAGCGAACAGG
Molecule: ribosomal RNA, 420 nt
Filed under: Fusobacteriota bacterium
Lineage: Bacteria; Fusobacteriati; Fusobacteriota
Description: Fusobacteria bacterium partial 16S ribosomal RNA
Rfam family: Bacterial small subunit ribosomal RNA
Source: RNAcentral